AUACGUAGGGGACGAGCGUUGUCCGGAAUUACUGGGCGUAAAGGGCGCGCAGGCUGUGCUGCAAGUCAGCUGUUAAAUGUCUGGGCUUAACCCGGGCAUGCGGUUGAGACUGCAGUGCUGGAGUGCUGUAGAGGCAAGUGGAAUUCCCAGUGUAGCGGUGAAAUGCGUAGAGAUCGGGAGGAACACCAGUGGCGAAGGCGGCUUACUGGACUGUAACUGACGCUGAGGCGCGAAAGUGUGGGGAGCAAACAGGAUUAGAUACCCUGGUAGUCCACACUGUAAACGAUGAAUGCUAGGUGUAGGGGGUAUCGACCCCUUCUGUGCCGGAGUCAACACAAUAAGCAUUCCGCCUGGGGAGUACGGCCGCAAGGUUGAA
Molecule: ribosomal RNA, 376 nt
Filed under: uncultured bacterium
Lineage: Bacteria
Description: bacterial SSU rRNA
Rfam family: Bacterial small subunit ribosomal RNA
Source: RNAcentral